AGCGUCAUCCUACGGAGGCAGCAUGGGGGAUAUUGCACAAUGGGGGGAACCCUGAUGCAGCGACGCCGCGUGGGUGAAGAAGCGCCUCGGCGCGUAAAGCCCUGUCAGCAGGGAAGAAAAUGACGGUACCUGAAGAAGAAGCCCCGGCUAACUACGUGCC
Molecule: ribosomal RNA, 160 nt
Filed under: uncultured bacterium
Lineage: Bacteria
Description: partial 16S ribosomal RNA
Rfam family: Bacterial small subunit ribosomal RNA
Source: RNAcentral